CAGUUUCACUUUGUCAGGGCCCAUGGCAACACUGGGUCAUGCAGGUGACCCAGGACGAGCUCCCUGUUGUAAAGCCAGCUGGUUAGCAACUCACUUCACCCACAGCCUUCAUUCCCCAUGGACCAAGCGACGUAGCAGAUUCUCGGUGUCCAAGAUAAGGACCCUAGCAUCAUCUGCCUAGCGUCUUCUGUCGGCUGCCAGUUUGUUCCUGUGGUUCCUAUCAGACCGAACCUCCGAACAUGAGCCAAGGUGGGAAGCGACAGAGAGAUCAGCCAACACUUUUGUCACUGGGCCACCCGCGUCAUGUCCCUGAGCAUGCCGAACAGGUCUCCUCUGGCAUAGAGUGUCCAGAGCUGCAGCCUGCGCCCUGUGCCCCGUGGCAGGUUGACUUGUGCCUACACAACCUACACGUGCUCUGUGGCUCUGCCCUGCUGUCUCACACAGCCUGUGACACAAAGCGCCAGUGUGGGUAGCGUGCUUGUUGGACGUGUAAUUGAAUGGAGCCCAGUGCCUUUCGUUCACUCCGCAUCCUGCUCAGGGACCUGUGACCUCCUUCAUUGCGCCUGGCUCUUCAGAGCAGGCUCUAGCCGCAGGCACCGUGGAUACUGUAUGCAUGCGUGUGAGCAUCAAUUACGGGCUUCGUUGACCCGGAACCCAAAGUGGAAGUCUGUGCAGGAAGUGACCAUGGCCUGGGCUGGAAAGGCCAGGCUAGGGAGCUGAACCAUGGGGCCUCUGGCCUGCCCUCGCAGCUGCCCCAGCUGCUUCCUUCCCAGUCUCUGCCCCCCACCCCCAGCCCCCGUGCAUUCGAGAUUCCCGGGAGGUCGAGCCUGGUGUAAUUACAGGGUAUCUGCUGCCUCCCUAUAAAUCUAAUAGACUUUUUGGCCUUGUCAGAUUAAAACUUACCUAUCAACCCGCCGCAGUCCUCUAGAUCUCCCUAAAUCUGUACUUGGGAGAGAAUUUAUGGCCAGGAAUUGCAUUUUGCAAAAUGAUUAAAGUUGCCAAACAGCCAUAAAAAGUUGCAGGAGGAGAUACGGUUUUUUUGAAAGUCUGCUUAAUUUAUAAGGGGUGGAAGGUUUAUUGUCAUUUAGAGUCCACAGCCAGGCAGCGAUGGAGCGUUUGGCGGCAGCUGUGCACAUCUGCUUCUGCUUUAUGCCUUUUACAUGUUUUUAAAUUGCCCUGUUUGAAUCUGCAGCCGCCAAAGCAUCCCGGUCUGCAGAAGGGUGGUUAACUCCUGCCCUCUGACGCUGGCCUCCCGUGCCCUAUUCCUCAGACGACCCGACUUGCCUCCCAGAAGUGUUCCUGGGUGAUCCCGUCUCAUGACGACUGCUCCAUGCCUUCCUGUCAUCGGCCAGCCCCACCAGCAGAGCCCUCACGUGUGCAAAGCUUUCAAGUCUAUAGGCGGGUUUCACGUGCCACGUCUUAACACUUGUCUCCCUGGAUUAAAUGAUUAAACGAGAUCAAACACUCAAGGCUCUAAACGCCCGGUGUUACCUCUUGAGCUGAUAAAUAGAAUUAGGGCUCCCGUUUAUUGACCGCAUGCGAGAUGUCAGACCUCUGCUCCUCGCUCCUACCACAUUACUUCACAGACUCUUGGCUGCCGCUGUGGGAGACAGCUGUCAGUUGUACCUGGGUUUUGGGAAGUGUGAAGAACUUAAAGCCAAGGUCGUGAAGUCAACACUCAAGCACAUUAGCUAACUAUUGGCAAUGUCACUAGGGCAAGCAUCUCACUGGUCUGUCUCCCGGGCUGGCACAGAGCAGACCCUGGGUGGAUCCUGUUGAGGGUGAGCCUGCAUGAACUGAGCUGUCCCAGUUGCUGUCUCUUAUCCCCGCCCCGCCUCCCCUUCUCCUUACAGGCAUCAGACCCUGGAUCAUCAGAAGUCUAACUUAGCGCUCAGUCUGGUGUCUGACGUAUUAUAGUUCUUGAUUCGCUGGAAAGAGGACUGAAUACAUUCAAUCCCAACGGUCCUCUGAGGACGGUUUUAGGAACUCCAUCGUGCGGGAGGGAGGGGCCUGAGGGUGUGUGACACCUGUUCAAAUACAGCGUCAGAGCCAGGAUUUGGAUUCGUUUUUUGUUUCUUUGUUUUGUUUUCUCACCAGCGCCCGCCCACCUAACCACCUGGCAGACGUUUGGGGGGUUGGGGGGAGAUUCGGAAGUGUUUCUUCUUCACCACCAUCCUGUCUAGUAUCUAUUAAAUAUCCAUCACUCACCAGCUGCAGACAUUCUCCAGAAAGCCCCAGAACACCCUCCCAGAGGUGUCUGCUAUUCCUCCCAUUUUACAGAUGUGAAAGCAGGUUGAAGGAGGCUGCCUAGUGACUGAUCUGAUUCCUGAGCCUCCUGCCAGCGCCAUGGAGUGAAGAGAAGUUUGGCCCUGGGAUGAUGAGAUGGACCCACUUGGAUGUUCUCCGGCCCCACUCCCACCCCGCAUCCUUGUCCCUUCAUCCUUGCUGUACAGUGGUCUGCCUUCGUGCUCACAGCCAGGCUCAGCAGGGAGAGUAGCCUCGUCCUUGGAUUUCCCUGCUUCCCAGACACUGCAGACACCCAAAGCCUGCUCUAGGCUCG
Molecule: long non-coding RNA, 2560 nt
Organism: Rattus rattus (black rat)
Lineage: Eukaryota; Metazoa; Chordata; Mammalia; Rodentia; Muridae
Exons: 3
Source: RefSeq, a predicted model, not a curated record